ACUAUGUGCCAGCAGCUGCGGUAAUACAUAGGUCGCGAGCGUUAUUCGGAUUUAUUGGGCGUAAAGCAAGCGCAGGCGGAUUGAUAAGUUCUGUGUUAAAAGCAGCUGCUCAACAGUUGUUUGCACCGAAUACUGUCAGUCUAGAAUGUGGUAGGGAGUUUCGGAAUUAAAUAUGGAGCGGUGGAAUGUGUAGAUAUAUUUAAGAACACCAGAAGCGAAGGCGGAAACUCAGGCCAUUAUUGACGCUUAGGCUUGAAAGUGUGGGGAGCAAAUGGGAUUAGAUACCCCAGUAGUCCACACCGUAAACGAUGGGUAUUAGAUGUCGGGAUUUAAGUUUCGGCGUUGUAGCUUACGUGUUAAAUACCCCGCCUGGGUAGUACAUAUGCAAAUAUGAAACUCAAAGGAAUUGACGGGGACCUGAACAAGUGGUGGAACAUGUUGCUUAAUUCGAUAAUACACGAAAAACCUUACCAAGGUUUGACAUCCCCCGCAAAGCCAUGGAAACAUGGUGGAGGUUAUCGGGGUGACAGGUGGUGCAUGGUUGUCGUCAGCUCGUGUCAUGAGAUGUUUGGUUAAGUCCCGCAACGAGCGCAACCCUACUCCUUAGUUACCUUUUCUAAGGAGACUGAACAGUAAUGUAUAGGAAGGUUGGGAUCACGUCAAAUCAUCAUGCCCCUUAUGCCUUGGGCUGCAAACGUGUUACAAUGGCGAGUACAAUGUGUCGCAAGCUAGC
RNAcentral lists this ribosomal RNA (733 nucleotides) under uncultured Mycoplasma sp. RNAcentral describes it as "bacterial SSU rRNA". It matches the Rfam family "Bacterial small subunit ribosomal RNA", at positions 500 to 1258 of the family's 1533-position model. The record is from RNAcentral. Lineage: Bacteria; Bacillati; Mycoplasmatota; Mollicutes; Mycoplasmatales; Mycoplasmataceae.